UACGGGGGGGGUAAGCGUUGUUCGGAAUUACUGGGCGUAAAGGGCUCGUAGGCGGCCAACUAAGUCGGACGUGAAAUCCCUCAGCUUAACUGGGGAACUGCGUCCGAUACUGGAUGGCUUGGAUUUGGGAGAGGGAUGCGGAAUUUCAGGUGUAGCGGUGAAAUGCGUAGAUAUCUGGAGGAACACCGGUGGCGAAGGCGGCAUCCUGGACCAAUAUUGACGCUGAGGAGCGAAAGCCAGGGGAGCAAACGGG
RNAcentral lists this ribosomal RNA (253 nucleotides) under uncultured bacterium. Its description in RNAcentral is "partial 16S ribosomal RNA". It matches the Rfam family "Bacterial small subunit ribosomal RNA", at positions 524 to 776 of the family's 1533-position model. The record is from RNAcentral.